CCUACGGGUGGCAGCAGUGGGGAAUAUUGCACAAUGGGGGAAACCCUGAUGCAGCAACGCCGCGUGAGUGAGGAAGUAUUUCGGUAUGUAAAGCUCUAUCAGCAGGGAAUAGAAAAGAAGGUACCUGAAAAAGAAGCCCCGGCUAACUACGUGCCAGCAGCCGCGGUAAUACGUAGGGGGCAAGCGUUAUCCGGAUUUACUGGGUGUAAAGGGAGCGUAGACGGAAAGGCAAGUCAGAAGUGAAAGCCCAAGGCUCAACCAUGGGACUGCUUUUGAAACUGUCAAACUAGAGUACGGGAGAGGUAAGAGGAAUUCCUAGUGUAGCGGUGAAAUCCGUAGAUAUCUGGAGGAACAUCAGUGGCGAAGGCGACUAGCUGGCACAUAACUGACGCUGAGGAGCGAAAGCGUGGGUAGCAAACAGGAUUAGAUACCCUAGUAGUC
Molecule: ribosomal RNA, 441 nt
Filed under: uncultured bacterium
Lineage: Bacteria
Description: partial 16S ribosomal RNA
Rfam family: Bacterial small subunit ribosomal RNA
Source: RNAcentral